AUCUCACACACUUCCUUCAAAUCACCUCUUCGAUCCAUCAAUCAUUCCCUUCUUCUCAACCCUACUGUGCUGCAGCGUCCAUCCCCACUAUUUAUCAGCUCCAAAUGGGAAAUUGAAAUUGAAUAUAGAAAAAAACUGAUGUGCUGAUAAAGACAGUAUUGGAAAAGGUCCUAUUACAUUGAGUAAUCAUUAGCACCUUCAAGAAGGAUAAAGAAGGAAUCUAGGAGACAAGAAUUCGGAGAAACCCAAAUAUGCAAAAAUAUGCAAAGAUGACAGCUAUAACAACUGUCAAAGAACAGCUCAUCAGAUACAGUGGGACGGGACAUUAUUUUGGAGACUUCUGAAAGCUUUAAUUCUGUUGGUCCUGAUGUUUUUGUGUGAGCUGAUAUUGCAUCAUGGGCUUUUGUUUUUCUGAUAGUAGUACCGUCUUUUCUGCGUUCUGUUAGUUCAUAUUCUUAAGUAUUGACAAUGGUUAUUUAUAAAUAAAGUUUUAAAUUUUACCAAAGUUAAGUGUAGAAGUCCUUCAGGAUAAAACUUAACAUGUUUAUAUGUAGUUAUAAAAGCUUGCUAUAUCAUAUAUUUUGUGUAAGUAGUUGUUAGCCUUGUUUGUAUUAUAUGACUUAAUGCAUAUUAUAUUACAUUUCCUUCAAAAGAAAAUAUUCUGUGAACUAUUGGUGAACUGAUUUUAUACUAUUAUACAAUUACAAAAUAUCACAUAUAGGUAAGUUGGUUGAGUUUUAUACUAAUUAGCUCAUAAUCUAUAUUUACCAUAAUUUCUAAUUAUAGUUGAUCAACUUGUGUGUACCUUGUAAAAAUUUUGAAUGCUCACAAAACUAAAAAACUAAACACUUUUGUAUUGUGCUGAUGUAUCAAACUGUUGUUCU
Molecule: unclassified non-coding RNA, 884 nt
Organism: Vigna unguiculata (cowpea)
Lineage: Eukaryota; Viridiplantae; Streptophyta; Magnoliopsida; Fabales; Fabaceae
Source: RefSeq, a predicted model, not a curated record